RNAcentral lists this ribosomal RNA (800 nucleotides) under uncultured bacterium. RNAcentral describes it as "bacterial SSU rRNA". It matches the Rfam family "Bacterial small subunit ribosomal RNA", at positions 8 to 858 of the family's 1533-position model. The record is from RNAcentral.
AGAGUUUGAUCCUGGCUCAGAACGAACGCUGGCGGCAGGCUUAACACAUGCAAGUCGAGCGCCCCGCAAGGGGAGCGGCAGACGGGUGAGUAACGCGUGGGAACAUACCCUUUGGUUCGGAAUAACUCAGGGAAACUUGAGCUAAUACCGGAUACGUCCGUAAGGAGAAAGAUUUAUCGCCAAAGGAUUGGCCCGCGUCCGAUUAGCUAGUUGGUGAGGUAACGGCUCACCAAGGCUACGAUCGGUAGCUGGUCUGAGAGGAUGAUCAGCCACAUUGGGACUGAGACACGGCCCAAACUCCUACGGGAGGCAGCAGUGGGGAAUAUUGGACAAUGGGCGCAAGCCUGAUCCAGCCAUGCCGCGUGAGUGAUGAAGGCCUUAGGGUUGUAAAGCUCUUUUGUCCGGGAAGAUAAUGACUGUACCGGAAGAAUAAGCCCCGGCUAACUUCGUGCCAGCAGCCGCGGUAAUACGAAGGGGGCUAGCGUUGUUCGGAAUCACUGGGCGUAAAGCGCACGUAGGCGGACCGUUAAGUCGGAGGUGAAAGCCUGGGGCUCAACCCCAGAACUGCCUUCGAUACUGGCGGUCUUGAGUAUGGUAGAGGUUGGUGGAACUCCGAGUGUAGAGGUGAAAUUCGUAGAUAUUCGGAAGAACACCAGUGGCGAAGGCGGCCAACUGGACCAUUACUGACGCUGAGGUGCGAAAGCGUGGGGAGCAACAGGAUUAGAUACCCUGGUAGUCCACGCUGUAAACGAUGAGAGCUAGCCGUUGGGGUGCAUGCACCUCAGUGGCGCAGCUAACGC